CGCCAUUUAAAGUGGUACGCGAGCUGGGUUUAGAACGUCGUGAGACAGUUCGGUCCCUAUCUGCCGUGGGCGCUGGAGAACUGAGGGGGGCUGCUCCUAGUACGAGAGGACCGGAGUGGACGCAUCACUGGUGUUCGGGUUGUCAUGCCAAUGGCACUGCCCGGUAGCUAAAUGCGGAAGAGAUAAGUGCUGAAAGCAUCUAAGCACGAAACUUGCCCCGAGAUGAGUUCUCCCUGACCCUUUAAGGGUCCUGAAGGAACGUUGAAGACGACGACGUUGAUAGGCCGGGUGUGUAAGCGCAGCGAUGCGUUGAGCUAACCGGUACUAAUGAACCGUGAGGCUUAACCUUACAACGCCGAAGGUGUUU
This 367-nucleotide ribosomal RNA is filed under the name Escherichia coli. RNAcentral's name for it is "partial 23S ribosomal RNA". It matches the Rfam family "Bacterial large subunit ribosomal RNA", at positions 2582 to 2925 of the family's 2925-position model. Lineage: Bacteria; Pseudomonadati; Pseudomonadota; Gammaproteobacteria; Enterobacterales; Enterobacteriaceae. The record is from RNAcentral.